This 307-nucleotide ribosomal RNA is filed under the name uncultured bacterium. RNAcentral describes it as "partial 16S ribosomal RNA". It matches the Rfam family "Bacterial small subunit ribosomal RNA", at positions 506 to 808 of the family's 1533-position model. The record is from RNAcentral.
AGACAGCAGCAGCCGCGGUAAUACGUAGGACCCGAGCGUUGUCCGGAUUUAUUGGGCGUAAAGCGAGCGCAGGCGGUUAGAUAAGCCUGAAGUUAAAGGCUGUGGCUUAACCGAAGUACGCUUUGGAAACUGUUUAACUUGAGUGCAAGAGGGGAGAGUGGAAUUCCAUGUGUAGCGGUGAAAUGCGUAGAUAUAUGGAGGAACACCGGUGGCGAAAGCGGCUCUCUGGCUUGUAACUGACGCUGAGGCUCGAAAGCGUGGGGCGCAAACAGGAUUAGAUACCCCUGUAGUCCCUGUCUCUUAUACC